This 253-nucleotide ribosomal RNA is filed under the name uncultured bacterium. RNAcentral describes it as "partial 16S ribosomal RNA". It matches the Rfam family "Bacterial small subunit ribosomal RNA", at positions 524 to 776 of the family's 1533-position model. The record is from RNAcentral.
GACGAACCGGACGAACGUUAUUCGGAAUCAUUGGGCUUAAAGUGUGCGUCGGUGGCCUUGUAGGUGAGGUGUGAAAUCCCACGGCUCAACCGUGGAACUGCGCUUCAAACCACAAGGCUUGAGUGAGGCAGAGGUAAGCGGAACUGAUGGUGGAGCGGUGAAAUGCGUUGAUAUCAUCAGGAACACCGGUGGCGAAGGCGGCUUACUGGGCCUUGUCUGACGCUGAGGCACGAAAGCUAGGGGAGCAAACGGG